RNAcentral lists this ribosomal RNA (205 nucleotides) under uncultured bacterium. Its description in RNAcentral is "partial 16S ribosomal RNA". It matches the Rfam family "Bacterial small subunit ribosomal RNA", at positions 568 to 774 of the family's 1533-position model. The record is from RNAcentral.
CGCGUAGGCGGCUCGCUAAGUUGGAUGUGAAAACUCUGGGCUUAACCCAGAGCCUGCAUCCAAAACUGGCAAGCUUGAGUACUGGAGGGAAAGCGGAAUUCCUGGUGUAGCGGUGAAAUGCGUAGAUAUCAGGAGGAACACCGGUGGCGAAGGCGGCUUUCUGGACAGUAACUGACGCUGAGGCGCGAAAGCUAGGGAGCAAACA